RNAcentral lists this ribosomal RNA (998 nucleotides) under Bacillus zhangzhouensis. Its description in RNAcentral is "bacterial SSU rRNA". It matches the Rfam family "Bacterial small subunit ribosomal RNA", at positions 45 to 1022 of the family's 1533-position model. Lineage: Bacteria; Bacillati; Bacillota; Bacilli; Caryophanales; Bacillaceae. The record is from RNAcentral.
UGCUAUACAUGCAGUCGAGCGGACAGAAGGGAGCUUGCUCCCGGAUGUUAGCGGCGGACGGGUGAGUAACACGUGGGUAACCUGCCUGUAAGACUGGGAUAACUCCGGGAAACCGGAGCUAAUACCGGAUAGUUCCUUGAACCGCAUGGUUCAAGGAUGAAAGACGGUUUCGGCUGUCACUUACAGAUGGACCCGCGGCGCAUUAGCUAGUUGGUGGGGUAAUGGCUCACCAAGGCGACGAUGCGUAGCCGACCUGAGAGGGUGAUCGGCCACACUGGGACUGAGACACGGCCCAGACUCCUACGGGAGGCAGCAGUAGGGAAUCUUCCGCAAUGGACGAAAGUCUGACGGAGCAACGCCGCGUGAGUGAUGAAGGUUUUCGGAUCGUAAAGCUCUGUUGUUAGGGAAGAACAAGUGCGAGAGUAACUGCUCGCACCUUGACGGUACCUAACCAGAAAGCCACGGCUAACUACGUGCCAGCAGCCGCGGUAAUACGUAGGUGGCAAGCGUUGUCCGGAAUUAUUGGGCGUAAAGGGCUCGCAGGCGGUUUCUUAAGUCUGAUGUGAAAGCCCCCGGCUCAACCGGGGAGGGUCAUUGGAAACUGGGAAACUUGAGUGCAGAAGAGGAGAGUGGAAUUCCACGUGUAGCGGUGAAAUGCGUAGAGAUGUGGAGGAACACCAGUGGCGAAGGCGACUCUCUGGUCUGUAACUGACGCUGAGGAGCGAAAGCGUGGGGAGCGAACAGGAUUAGAUACCCUGGUAGUCCACGCCGUAAACGAUGAGUGCUAAGUGUUAGGGGGUUUCCGCCCCUUAGUGCUGCAGCUAACGCAUUAAGCACUCCGCCUGGGGAGUACGGUCGCAAGACUGAAACUCAAAGGAAUUGACGGGGGCCCGCACAAGCGGUGGAGCAUGUGGGUUUAAUUCGAAGCAACGCCGAAGAACCUUAACCAGGUCNUUGACAUCCUCUGAACACCCCUAGAAGAUAGGGGCUUUCCCUUC